UUAAGGAAAAAAAUAAACUUUACGGAUAUAAAAUGUUGUCUUGAAGCAAUUGGAACAAGUAAAAUGUUAGUGUAAUUUUGGAUGCAUAUGGCUCGCUGUAAAAAAAUCUUGGACAUCCGAUGCUCCAAUAGAAAUAUAACGAAUUGAGAAAGAAGAAAGAGAAAAUAACAUUCAAAAUGACCACCGUUUGAGUAAAAUAGGGUAUCUGAAAGUAUUUUGGAGGGAAAGAAUAUUUUGAUCAGUUUUAAAUUUUCAAAAUUAAGUCCAACUACAUUAAAUUUUUGCAGCAUUGAAAAAUCUGACAACUAGAGUAAAAUCCCUAUUUCCACUUUAAACUUAAAAGAAACUCCCCCUUCCAAUUUAAAAUAAAAGCUACUCCCAGUUUGAAACUUAAAUUAAAAGGAGCUACCCAAAUACGCUAAAAUUAUCAAAUUAUCCUUUUGAUACUUAAAUGGGCACAAACUCUUUUCUCCCUUGCCCUGGUCAUCCAACGUCCAUCGCACGCCCCCCAGACUUUCAACGAGAUCGCAUGCCUCCCUGCUUCGCCGCUCGUCUUCGAUCAUUGAUUCUCUCAAGUUGGUCUACUCUCUUUCAUCCUUACUCUGCUCCCUCGAUCCCCUCACAUUGUUGUUCUCCCCACUGGUGGCCGCCUCCCUCUAUCUUGCUGAUCUUCUGUCGGUUGCCGUCUCCUUCCAUCACGUCGAAGAAGCAUAGUCUUCACUCUCUUGUUGGUACUUCUGUCUUCCUCCAUUACGUCAGAACAAUGUCCACGCCCGGAGGUCGGUGCAAGAAAUUUCAACCGGUAAGCAUUGCCCCCCAAGUUGAAAUUUUAGAAAUAGUUUAAUUCAAAUUUUUAUUGUUUAUGAUUGAAUGAGAAAUAAUUCAAAUUGCAUAUUCAAUGAUGCCUAAUUGAUGCAAGUGAAAGGCAAUUUAUACUUCGUUGUGCAUAAUUUAUACACCGAUCUGCAUAUUUAGUAUUUUCAUACUGUUUCAGGACUUAGGAUCCUUAAAUAAAAAAAGAGAGUUAUCUUUUUUGCUAAAUAUUUUCUUAUAUAUUACAUGUAAUGCCAAGACCUCUACUGCAUUGUGCUACAGGUUCAAACUAAAUGUAAGAGGGCUGAUUUAUUUAGCGGGAGGUUGGAGAGUAGAUGCUCUCCAAGUUCAUUGUACAGAAUGUUGAAUGCUAAAGAGAAAGGGAAGAAGAGUAUAAAGGAGUCAAUCUCAGAUGCACAAAUGGAGCUUCUACAAAAAACACCAUUUGCACACUUCCUUGAUAUACCAAAGUUAUCUACUAGUCCAAAUUGGUUGCGUGUGCUCAUCAAGCUGUUCGAUGAGCAAAGAAGUAUAUUCAUUGUCAGCAACGGCUUAGAGCUAAAACUUGAAAAGGAUGAGCUCGCCACAAUGCUUGGCCUCCCUCUCACCGGCCUACCAGUAGAACUUGACGAGGAGGGGGCACUCCCAAAAGAAUGUUGCCAUAGUAGAUGCUAGUAUGGCUCAAGAUAGUAGGGAUCUUAUUUGGAAGGAGGAUACCACAUAUGGUUCUAUAUGGGCUGAAGACUUGAGCCUACGUAAAUUAUUAUCUUCAAAGAUAAUAUUUAAUGAUAUAAUUAAUUAUUAGAUGCGUAUAAUAGAAAUCUUGCCCAAUGAAGAAAGCUCCAAUAGAUAAUGCAACAUCUCCUACCUACGCAUGGAGUCUAUGCAUGAGAUGUUAAACUAUUUCUGGAGACUAGGUGAACAUCCAGAUAAAGGUGCUAUGGAAAAAAUCAUAGGGGGCAUGAGAAACACCACGCGUUUAUCUUUUAAUCAUAUUUCUCUUUACAUUCUUGCCACAUGUCGCUACAUAAUGCUUCCACUCAACACCACUGAUAAGUGAUACUGGCACCUUUUGGUAUUUGAUACCAUACGUAGAAAAUUUUUGUAUUAUGACUCUAUAAAAAGUUCAAUAGCAAAAAAAAACUGUCGAAACUAUUGUAAGUAUAAAAUGUCAAUUUCAUUAAUCAGUCUUUGAUGUUUAUGGCAAUUUUGAUAAGUGGCACUGGCAUCUUUUGAUA
Elaeis guineensis (African oil palm) is the source of this 2051-nucleotide non-coding RNA. The record is from RefSeq and is a predicted model, not a curated record. Lineage: Eukaryota; Viridiplantae; Streptophyta; Magnoliopsida; Arecales; Arecaceae.